Molecule: ribosomal RNA, 676 nt
Filed under: Klebsiella sp. 20(2010)
Lineage: Bacteria; Pseudomonadati; Pseudomonadota; Gammaproteobacteria; Enterobacterales; Enterobacteriaceae
Description: bacterial SSU rRNA
Rfam family: Bacterial small subunit ribosomal RNA
Source: RNAcentral
UGCUCUCGGGUGACGAGCGGCGGACGGGUGAGUAAUGUCUGGGAAACUGCCUGAUGGAGGGGGAUAACUACUGGAAACGGUAGCUAAUACCGCAUAACGUCGCAUGACCAAAGUGGGGGACCUUCGGGCCUCAUGCCAUCAGAUGUGCCCAGAUGGGAUUAGCUAGUAGGUGGGGUAAUGGCUCACCUAGGCGACGAUCCCUAGCUGGUCUGAGAGGAUGACCAGCCACACUGGAACUGAGACACGGUCCAGACUCCUACGGGAGGCAGCAGUGGGGAAUAUUGCACAAUGGGCGCAAGCCUGAUGCAGCCAUGCCGCGUGUAUGAAGAAGGCCUUCGGGUUGUAAAGUACUUUCAGCGAGGAGGAAGGCAUUAAGGUUAAUAACCUUAGUGAUUGACGUUACUCGCAGAAGAAGCACCAGCUAACUCCGUGCCAGCAGCCGCGGUAAUACGAAGGGUGCAAGCGUUAAUCGGAAUUACUGUACGUAAAGCGCACGACCGCUGGUCUGUUAAGUCGGAUGUGAAAUCCCCGGUCUCAACCUGGGAACUGCAUUUGAAACUGGCAGGCUUGAGUCUUGUAGAGGGAGGUAGAAUUCCAGGUGUAGCGCUGAAAUGCGUAGAGAUCUGAAGGAAUACCGUUGGCGAAGGCCGCCUCCUGUACAAACACUGACGCUCAG